GACGAACGCUGGCGGCGUGCUUAACACAUGCAAGUCGAACGGAAAGGCCCUGCUUUUGUGGGGUGCUCGAGUGGCGAACGGGUGAGUAACACGUGAGUAACCUGCCCUUGACUUUGGGAUAACUUCAGGAAACUGGGGCUAAUACCGGAUAGGAGCUCCUGCUGCAUGGUGGGGGUUGGAAAGUUUCGGCGGUUGGGGAUGGACUCGCGGCUUAUCAGCUUGUUGGUGGGGUAGUGGCUUACCAAGGCUUUGACGGGUAGCCGGCCUGAGAGGGUGACCGGCCACAUUGGGACUGAGAUACGGCCCAGACUCCUACGGGAGGCAGCAGUGGGGAAGAUUGCACAAUGGGAGGAAGCCUGAUGCAGCAAAGCCGCGUGCGGGAUGACGGCCUUCGGGUUGUAAACCGCUUUCGCCUGUGACGAAGCGUGAGUGACGGUAAUGGGUAAAGAAGCACCGGCUAACUACGUG
Molecule: ribosomal RNA, 468 nt
Filed under: uncultured bacterium
Lineage: Bacteria
Description: partial 16S ribosomal RNA
Rfam family: Bacterial small subunit ribosomal RNA
Source: RNAcentral